Molecule: long non-coding RNA, 1078 nt
Filed under: Setaria italica (foxtail millet)
Lineage: Eukaryota; Viridiplantae; Streptophyta; Magnoliopsida; Poales; Poaceae
Description: long non-coding RNA (SITA_LNC005634)
Source: RNAcentral
UUUAUGCUUGGCCCACGGUCACCGUCUGUCUGUCCGUCGCCCACCACGCCUGCAGCAACAUCAAAUUGGACCCAUUUGUGAAGACCCAGUAGGGAACACUUUAAAAAUUCUUGACUCUCCAAGAAUAAAGUCUAUAUUUCAAUUAUAAUCCAACACACUUCUCUUUUAAUCGCCAAGCAAGGCUACACAUCGUGCUGGCUCUAGGAAUGAGUGAGGAAAAAUAAUUCAAAGCGAUGCAGAAGCAAACACACUAGAAACAGCCGAUCACAACACAAACUUGCACAAAUUUACUGUGCUACUAUGCCUAAUCCGAAAUUAAGAACACAACAGCACAGUCUUGGUAACCAAGCAAAAGCAAUAAGCACUACGUACUGGAAUGAAGACAAGCUGAUAGCUACUGCAAGCUACAAAGUACUCGAGCUAUUUCCUUGCUCUUGUACAUGUCGAGCUCCAGAACCAUGCAAAGGAAAUAAACUAAUGCUCCAAAGAUUAGUUAAUGGCUAAUUGAACAGGUGGCACACUAUUGCAUGAAAGUGACACUUCAUGAGCCAUCCAAUUAAAACCACCCAUAGCUGAUCGUAGCUCAGACAAAAUACUAGGAUGAACAGCUCAAGUUUUUGAGGUAAGGACUGUCCAAUAAAUGGUCACUAUACAACACAAAGAGACAACAUAUGUUGGAAAUUGAGGUGGCUCUAAUACCCACCAUACUGAGAACCUACACCUAGAACACCAACUUACUCUGGAGUCAGUCAGCCCUUUUAAUUUCUAGUUACUUAGUGCGAUGGGUCCUUUUGACGGCAGAGCCACCUUCUCACUUCCGGAUGGUAGAACCUACCAACAGAUGAAGCUGACUUUGGGGUGGCAGAGUCAACCUACGAUGAAGUUUAGACCCUUAUGAUCUCCGGUGACAAAGCCAACCUCCGAUGGAUCACAACUUAUGCACUAGGUCAAGAAACUAUAUGGCCCAACUGGGAGACUAACACUUGUAAGAAACUGAACUUUAUUAUAACACAACAAUAUUACAUAAGAGUGUACAAUACUCUUUAUUUAGUGGCUAGCCUAGCACUCACCCUUUACU